UUGACCUCGGAUCAGGCAGGGAUACCCGCUGAACUUAAGCAUAUCAAUAAGCGGAGGAAAAGAAACCAACAGGGAUUGCCUCAGUAACGGCGAGUGAAGCGGCAACAGCUCAAAUUUGAAAUCUGGCUCUUUUAGGGUCCGAGUUGUAAUUUGUAGAGGAUGCUUCGGCGUCGGCUCCGGUCUAAGUUCCUUGGAACAGGACGUCAUAGAGGGUGAGAAUCCCGUAUGUGAUCGGUUGCCCUUGCCAUGUGAAGCUCCUUCGACGAGUCGAGUUGUUUGGGAAUGCAGCUCUAAAUGGGAGGUAAAUUUCUCCUAAAGCUAAAUACUGGCCAGAGACCGAUAGCGCACAAGUAGAGUGAUCGAAAGAUGAAAAGCACUUUGGAAAGAGAGUCAAAAAGUACGUGAAAUUGUUGAAA
Molecule: ribosomal RNA, 416 nt
Filed under: uncultured Cenococcum
Lineage: Eukaryota; Fungi; Ascomycota; Dothideomycetes; Gloniales; Gloniaceae
Description: eukaryotic LSU rRNA
Rfam family: Eukaryotic large subunit ribosomal RNA
Source: RNAcentral